UCACCACGCUAGUGUGCGUUAUGCUUUGACUUUUGUGACUAUGGAAUAUUACCUCUAGUAAAAGCCUUUUUUGGAAACUCUUUUUGUGUCGAGUCGUGCAUUUGGGUUUUAUCGUUUUAUUGUGCCCCAGACGUAACAAUUUGUUGUAAUUUAAGUUACUGUGUAUAAACAACAACAAAAAUGGUACGUUUUCUGGAUCAUGGAGGGCCUGAUCUUGGAGUAUGUUUGGAGUAAGAUCACUCUGCAUGGCACUUGCCAAAGAAGGAAAAAAAUAUGCCGGUCACAGGGUCCUGUUUGCUUACGUGAGGAUCCAUAAUGCAUGGUUUGUAUCGUUUACUUGAGGGACUCCCUGUGCCACUCAUCACUUCCUACUCUGUAUGUGACAGGGAGGCCAAAGGAGAGAGGAGAUAACCAAGUGUCAGGGGACCAUGGCACCUGCUGAUGAAGAAAUCAAGUCAGUGAGUCCUCCCGUGGUCACAAGCUGCCCUCGUACCCCAGGAGUCUAUCUCACCAGUCUGUCAUAUUGGCCGGUGGUCACCGCUCAACGGCCAGAGUCUGAUCACAUAUAUGUUUCAUUUUGUCUUUUUCUGACUGCCUAUGAGUUGCUUUUUAUUCAGUCAAAGACACCUACAUUUUUAAGACAGACAUUUAUAGAAAAAGGGGACAGAAUAUGAAUGCACGAUAUUUUUAAAUAAGCUGUAAGUUAUCCUAGCCUAAUUGGUGCAACAAUUAGGAGCUGCAGCGGGAAACAAUGGGAAGGAGACGAUAAUUACUCACCGUAUGUCCACGCUCCCACACAGUCAUGAGAAUAACUUUAAUCGAAACAAAUAACUGAAACAUGUGUGGGUGGACUGUUGAUGUGUAGCUGAUUCAUUGCCCUCUUGUUGCUGCAUUCCCAAAUUAGUAAAUUGCUGCAACAAUUACCCAAAACAGUUAUUAAUUGGGAUGGAAGUUACAAUAUAAUUUACAACAACAACAAAAAACACAAUACAGUUCAUGUGAGGCAAACUACACAAUGUGUGCACCCAGUAAUCAACCCAUAGUUCCUUCCUUUACUUAUCUAUGAAUUGCACUUGUUUAACUGUAUCCGUAUAACUGUAUCCGUAUCCGUGUACAGUU
Molecule: long non-coding RNA, 1119 nt
Organism: Eleginops maclovinus (Patagonian blennie)
Lineage: Eukaryota; Metazoa; Chordata; Actinopteri; Perciformes; Eleginopidae
Exons: 3
Source: RefSeq, a predicted model, not a curated record